This is a long non-coding RNA of Mesocricetus auratus (golden hamster), 1591 nucleotides long. RefSeq lists it as uncharacterized. The transcript is spliced from 4 exons. Lineage: Eukaryota; Metazoa; Chordata; Mammalia; Rodentia; Cricetidae. The record is from RefSeq and is a predicted model, not a curated record.
CGACGCCCCAGGGAGAAGGGAAAGUAAACCUCUCAAGAGAAUGGAUGAAAGAGAGGAGGGAACUCCGCCAGUCCAAAGGACAAAAGUCUGGCGGCAAAGAACCAAGGGAAAUGUGAACCAGGUGAGCGCAGAGGAAGAGAGAAAUAACGAACUGUACUCGAGGGUGCAGUGCCCUGUGGCGAAGGAAAUCACCGUGACUCCGGAUAGAUAACCACGCAAGAGCACAUUCACCAUUGCAAACACAAAAGCAGGGGCGUGGGCUGGCUGGAGAAGCCGCUCUCAUCAGCGUCCCUUUUGUCUGGAGCCAGGGUGGGGUCCUAACAGAGAAUAACGGUUCUUUAAGGCUAACCUUCAUCUCCCCGGAAAGAAGUGAUCCUUAAAAAAAAAAAAAAAAAAAGAACUAGCUUCCUAACCACAUUAAACAGCCCGAGACUCUCCCACACCGCGGGCUGUGAUGUGAUUUUCUCCUCUCUUGAUCUCGUUCAUCCUUGAAACAACAGCUCCCCUGGGGGAGUUCUGGUCGCCAAGACUGUUAGAGGAGAGCAGCACUUCUUUUGGUCAGCUCAAGGUCACUCCCUGUAACGUCAGAGGUGGCAGCUCCUGGGGACCACAGAACUGAACAAUGACAUUUAUUCGUCUCAGUAGCAGUCCGUGUCCUUAAUCGGCCUGAACUUACAGGGAGGACUAUAUGGCUUCGUAGUCCCAUUGGAACUUAAACUUGAGGAUGUCGUUGAGAGACUCUUAAAAACACAUCCAGGAAUGAGUGCUUUUGCAAACAAUGAGGUUUGGCUGCAACGUAAUUCAUACGUAUUGUCACAUCCUAGGUAAAUGAAGAUCACUAGUGAUGUUCUUUUGUAAAAGUUUAAAAAUUCGGGGGAAAAAAAGGCGAAGGCUCGAGAUGGAACCUGGACCAGAGCGUUACAGCCAUAGAGAGCUUCAGUUGAAAGGGUCGCUGGGAGGAGCCAGAGCAGACCUCCUCCAGGAAUCUCUGUCUUCAGGGAGGCUUCCUCCAGGUCUGGUGGCCUCUUUGGUGUCUUGAGUUCAGUGGAUAUGAGCAUCUUUUUCUUAUUGACUAGGAAUACCAUCUAAUAAGUCAAAAAGUUCACUGUGUACCAGAACUUAAUUUUUAUUUAAGCAAGUCGUCUAAGUCAAUGCUCAUGACAAACACCAUUAAAACCAAGAGUAUUUGGUAACAGUUGGCUGCCAUUUGCUUUAUAGUAACCACAGGGCUGAUAUUCCUGAGGGCCAAUUAGUGUCUGAAGUAGAAUUCAAUGUCACGUGGUCGCCACUAGUGAGAAAAAAAAAGUGAGAAUGUCUGCUCUUCCUCCCUUGGGCAGGUCCGUUCCUGAGCAGCCUAUGAUGAUCUGGACCUCAUUCUGCUUACAGAACUUUAUUUUUGUUUAUUUUUUUGGUCUCCACCUCUGCCACAUACACUUAUGUUUGUAACACUCUGUCUUAGUAUCUUGUUUCUAGAAAACGUGUUGCUUGUUGUACGAGUCCUCCAUCUUUUCAUUUUCUUCACCUGUAUCAUAUUUUAGAACAAUUGUGAGGGUAUUGCCAGGUCUUUUUCAAUUAAAGAAAAUCCUCAUGA